AUGUGGAGGAGAGCUUGUUCCAGGCAUCCAGCCCAGAUCCUGCAGAAGAAAAGUCUUCCUUCCUCCUACUGGACAGCAAGCAGGAUUCAGACAUUGAGUCAUCAGGCAAAGUGGCUCAGUGCGAUGGAUUUUCCUGUGUCUUGCUACCUCUCCAGCAGAAGUCCAGGCUGCAGAGAGCACACCAACUGUGUAACAUCCCAGAUCUCCUGGCUCCAGAAGGCCUGUAUGAUUGCCACCAGGAGAGUGGAUGGGCAGGAGGCAAAGCUGUGACACGACCGUGUAGAGUGGAGGUUUGGUGCAGCUGGGAGCUCCUGAGGUAGAACAACCUUGUGGUGCAUGUGGAGUUCCUGGCACUUCUUACUCCAGACACAAGAGCUUGACUGCCAGUUUCCUGGGGAAAUACUGGUAGUGGGAUGUUCGUAGCCUUUGGUGGGAAUGAAGGUCACAGUAUUCUCUCUUUUUUUAAAGUUUUUUUGUUGUUGUUUUUUCCUUUGAUUUUGGCAUUUGGAGGAGAUGCUCUGUCACAAACUGGUAAUUCUCAUUAAGAUUGGAGACAUUGUAAUGUAAUCAGUGGACAGACUCAUGGACCAUUGUGGUAGGUCAGAGAAGACUAGAAAGCUUCGUAUUUUAUUUACCACAUUUCAACAGACAUAAGCUGAUGCUAUAGGUAGACUUUUUAAAUGAGGUUGCCCUUGAGAGGAUGCAAUAUUUUUGUCUUAUUUCUCUCUGUCAUCAGCCAGAGGGAUAAAGCCCAAAGAGAGCUCCUUGGUACAUGCAAUUUGUCUGAACUUCAGGCCUUGCUCACUAAGGAUGGCCUAUUGCCCAGUCCUGUGUGACAGGACUGUGCCUGAUCUCAUGUGGUCCUAGUGAACAAGGGUAGCCUGUAUGAAAAUUUAUGUAUGGGGCAAUUCUGCUUGUGGAGUCUGAGUGUGCUGUCUGCAAGAAGAACAGCUGCCCCAUUUUGAAAUGGCUUCUCUUUUUGCUUAUCAGUGUCCCGCUGUGGUAGGUAAUCCACACAGUUAAAUAUUGGUUGGCUUUCAGGUCUACUCCUUGCCAGCAGCUUUUCUAUAUAAGGUUAAUACAGUUGCCUUGCACUUGUCAAACCGGAAAACAAAUGUGGUAACAAAUAAAGGUUUUUUUGCACUGUACA
Molecule: long non-coding RNA, 1150 nt
Filed under: Calidris pugnax (ruff)
Lineage: Eukaryota; Metazoa; Chordata; Aves; Charadriiformes; Scolopacidae
Description: lncRNA (ENSCPUG00000014924.1)
Source: RNAcentral